Molecule: ribosomal RNA, 800 nt
Filed under: uncultured bacterium
Lineage: Bacteria
Description: bacterial SSU rRNA
Rfam family: Bacterial small subunit ribosomal RNA
Source: RNAcentral
GGGCCGCUUAUACUGGCAGUCGAGCGAGCUUGCCUAGAUGAUUUUAGUGCUUGCACUAAAUGAAACUAGAUACAAGCGAGCGGCGGACGGGUGAGUAACACGUGGGUAACCUGCCCAAGAGACUGGGAUAACACCUGGAAACAGAUGCUAAUACCGGAUAACAACACUAGACGCAUGUCUAGAGUUUGAAAGAUGGUUCUGCUAUCACUCUUGGAUGGACCUGCGGUGCAUUAGCUAGUUGGUAAGGUAACGGCUUACCAAGGCAAUGAUGCAUAGCCGCGUUGAGAGACUGAUCGGCCACAUUGGGACUGAGACACGGCCCAAACUCCUACGGGAGGCAGCAGUAGGGAAUCUUCCACAAUGGACGAAAGUCUGAUGGAGCAACGCCGCGUGAGUGAAGAAGGGUUUCGGCUCGUAAAGCUCUGUUGGUAGUGAAGAAAGAUAGAGGUAGUAACUGGCCUUUAUUUGACGGUAAUUACUUAGAAAGUCACGGCUAACUACGUGCCAGCAGCCGCGGUAAUACGUAGGUGGCAAGCGUUGUCCGGAUUUAUUGGGCGUAAAGCGAGUGCAGGCGGUUCAAUAAGUCUGAUGUGAAAGCCUUCGGCUCAACCGGAGAAUUGCAUCAGAAACUGCUGAACUUGAGUGCAGAAGAGGAGAGUGGAACUCCAUGUGUAGCGGUGGAAUGCGUAGAUAUAUGGAAGAACACCAGUGGCGAAGGCGGCUCUCUGGUCUGCAACUGACGCUGAGGCUCGAAAGCAUGGGUAGCGAACAGGAUUAGAUACCCUGGUAGUCCAUGCCGU